ACGGAAGGCAGCAGUGGGGAAUAUUGCACAAUGGGGGAAACCCUGAUGCAGCGACGCCGCGUGAAGGAUGACGUAUUUCGGUAUGUAAACUUCUAUCAGCAAGGAAGAUGAUGACGGUACUUGACUAAGAAGCCCCGGCUAACUACGUGCCAGCAGCCGCGGUAAUACGUAGGGGGCAAGCGUUAUCCGGAUUUACUGGGUGUAAAGGGAGCGCAGGCGGCCAUGCAAGUCAGAAGUGAAAGCCCGGGGCUCAACCCCGGGACUGCUUUUGAAACUGUAAGGCUAGAGUGCCGGAGAGGUAAGCGGAAUUCCUAGUGUAGCGGUGAAAUGCGUAGAUAUUAGGAGGAACACCAGUGGCGAAGGCGGCUUACUGGACGGUAAAUGACGCUCAGGCUCGAAAGCGUGGGGAGCAAACAGGAUUAGAUACCCUGGUA
Molecule: ribosomal RNA, 434 nt
Filed under: uncultured bacterium
Lineage: Bacteria
Description: partial 16S ribosomal RNA
Rfam family: Bacterial small subunit ribosomal RNA
Source: RNAcentral